AUCAGAAGCAGAAGCGCCCUGGUGAUUCUAUGCCACACCACCAUUCCCCAGGAAAAUGUUCUCCACUGAGACAAAAUCCUUAAAUUUUUAGAAUGGCCUUAUUAUGGAUUACAGCAAACAUCUCAGCACAUCUUUCUCAGCAAGGAUCUCAAAACAGCAUUGGGAUGGCCUUAUUAAUAGAUCCCUUACGAAAACUCAGAAAAGUUAGAGAGGCACUCAGAAUCUUCCUAAAAUAUGAAAUGUUGAAAUCUGGAUUCUUUUUUUACCAUGACUGCAAAAUGUAAGCCACUACUUGGGCUCACCUUGUUGAAUCAGAUUUCUUCUACUUUGCCAUUUUGAUGAUAUCACUCCCAGGAGAUGAAUCUAUUGCUUCCAGAGCAUGAAUACUAGAACAGAGGACAGUUGGUAAAACUGAGAUACCAUGCCAGGUAAUAGUCGGAGUUUCAGCUGGAAAAUAGAAGAUAUGUUUCCAUUGGGUCAAGCAAGAAGAGCUUGAGACAUCUCAUCGAUUACCUACAAAAACUGCCCAGAUAAGUGAGGAGACCCAUGAGAUUUGGUAUAAAUUGCUCACUGUAUGUGGGGUAACAGAAAGAAGAAUAACCCAACAUAGAAAGCCUCAAAGCAGGAAGAUACUACACAGACUUCCAAAGAAGCAGUGAGAGGACACCAUCUGAUGCUGGCUGCACCAAGAAGCCUGAAUGGCUGUCAGUGUCAGGUGGGGAAGCAGAUGACAGAAGAGAGGAGAACAUGAAAUUGUACUAUAACUGCGUUUGUUGUCCAAAUAAGCACAAGCUGUUCCAUAUACUUUUACAUGUUUCAUUUACUUCUGCAGAGAGGAAAGAAGAAAGAUGAGAGGGAAAGCUAAGAAAAGGUGAGAAGAAAGGGUCAGGAGGAGAAAUGCAAAGAGACUGGGAUAAUUUUUUGGACCAUACCUUCUCUGCUGGCAGCUUACUGUGACUGCACCAUCCAAAAUUUGGUAUAAGGAUUUGGAAAUUUGACCAAUAUUUCUUAGAAGAAGAAAAAGAAUCGAAUAGCUGGGCCACAGUGUUAUAGGAUUUAUGCAGCUCCCCCUUCGUCUUCCACCAUGAUUGUAAGCUUCCUGAGGCCUCACUAGAAGAUGAACAGAUGCCAACACCAUGCUUCCUGUAAAAUCUUCAGAACUGUUUUUUCCACUUCCCCAGAUGGUGUCUGUGGGAUUGGCUCUCACUUUCAAGCUUCACUGACCCUAGAUGAUGGACUAGGAUCUGCUUUGGACAUCUGAGCCCAGGCUAAAGUAGGCAAAGGACAAGAGCUGCCCGCUCUUUCAGAAGCAUCUCUCAGAGAGUGACAUCCCCCUGCACACAGCUGCCAUGUCUGUAUGGCUGACUUGGGAGAAAUGCCAGAAAGGUUGGCAUGAGUGAGCAACUGUGAGGAGACCAUCAGAUGGAAACACCCAAGAGGCACUGAAAUGAUCAGGACUAGCUGAACUGGAAAGGACAAAGGCAGAAGAAAAGUACCCUCAAUGUUUGGGCACCUUGGGUCCAAAUAGAGUUUAUUUAAUAAGGACUUACAGUGAUUUAACUUAAGGUUUUUGCCUUCAUGAUGGGUUUAUCAGGGUAUUAAAUGCAUUUUUAAUUUAGGAUAUUUUUGACUAACAAUGGGUCGAUUGAGAUGUAAACACUUUGUAAGUCAAGGAACAUCUGUAUAUGAAUAAAAUCACAAACUGACCAAGGCCAAAGAGUUCUCCAACACAUUGAUUUCAAGCUCAUGAACAAAGUAUCUCCUUUAAAACAUCCUAAGAUUAUCUAAUCCAAUUUCCUUAUUCUACAAUUAAGACUCCUGAAACCUAGAGGGAAGGUGACUCAACCAGACUCCAAUCCAGCUUGCUUCCAAGAAUGUGAACCAACGAAUCUAUGUAAUCUGCUCUAUCCAUUUCAACAUAAGGAAUGGUGUUACUUGAAUUGUUCACUCUCUAGGACUUUCAUUUGUUUCAUUUCUUUUCCUAUUUAGAAUUAUAGUAUGUGAAGCCUGAAGGCAUUAUAGGGAUAAUCUAGAUCCAAACCUUAUUUUCCAGAGGAAGAAAUGAAUGCACAUAGAGGAAAAGUAGAUUGUCCCAAGGUCAUCUAAUGGCACAGCUCAGAUUGGAAUCUCCAUUUCCUCAUCUCAAACCAGUGCUCUGUCAACUAAAAUAGAAUACUUAAAGAAUGCUGAGGCAUUGAGAGACAAGUAAUUGGAUUCUGAUACACUGUCAAAUAUUAAGAAUGAAUAGCUGUAAGUUCCUUAUUUGACAAAAGCCAAGAUUCUCAUCUUUAUUUUCCACUGAGAAAUAUCAUGCUAGAGACAAUCUUUGCAAACUUUGCUUCUAAGAUGCUAAGUCCUGCGGCAUGUAAUCUUUUCUUUUUUGUGAGUGAGUUGGCCUAAUGCCUAGAAGUUUCAUUACAUUUCCAGAAAGUCUUCUCUGGUAAUUUCAUGAAGCAUAUUACCUGUUUUAUCUUGAAAUGUCUUUACCUUCUAGGAGGUUUACUCAUGAAAGCAAUGCUGAAAAAUACAAUUUGGUUGUUUAAGUGGGAGACUUAGGUUAUUAAAUGUUUAUUUCCUUGGGUAAGAAAAUAUUUUCCUCUCUUUAAGGGAGUGUGGUUGUUAUUAUGAAAAGUUUUAGAAGUUAAAAUUGCUGAUGUACCUGAGGAAAGCCAAAUGUCACCUGUAUAUUUUUGAUCCUCAUUUCUUUGGCUCAUAGUCCAUUCUCUGUAUUUUCUCCAAAUUUUCAUCAGUCUUAGAAAAAUAUAAACUUCAUAAUUCUGGAGUCAUGACAACUUGUACUUAUUUUAAAUGCAAUUUGUGAUAUUACUUAUUAUUCUCUUUAAAGUAUUUUAAACUUCACUAUUUUUAUCAUUUGUAGAUGUAGAUAUUAAAUUUUGUGAAUGAGUUACUAAUUCACAUGGUUUAUCUAUAACUAUCUAUAAAAGUAUACAGUAAAAAUUUCCUUUCUCUACUCCAUUUUUCUUCUAUUCAGUUUUUAUUCUCUCAUCCCUCAAUUGGUGUUCAAUGUUACUGGGCUCUUGUGUAUCUUUAGCUAUUUUUCGUACACUUAAAUUCAAAUAUAUAUUCCCUAAAUUACCCAAUUUCUACAGACAUUAACAUCCUCACAUUCAUAUCUGCACAUUGCUCUUUCCACCUAACAAUAAAUCUUAGUUAUCUUUCUAUGUCAUUUGACAAAAAAACCUCUGUAAUAAUUUGUUAGCUUAAUAUUUUAUUCAAUUCUCCAAUCCUACUAAUGGACACUUGGAUUGAUUCUAAUCUUUUGCUGUUAGAAAUAAUGUUUCAAUAAAUACUCUUGUAAUAUGUCAUUUUGCAAGGAUAUGAGUAAAGUUCCUAGAAGUAUAAUUGAUGGAUCAAAGAAAAAACAUCUGUAAUAUUAAUUUCUGUAAACAACUUGCCCUCCAUGUGGGUUGUAUCAGCAAUAUAUUAAUGUUUUUUCUUCACAGUUUUCCCAACAUAGUGAGUUACCAAAAUUUGUUAUUUUCUUAACAAUCUGACAAACGAAAAUAGUGUCUCCAGCUUAUGCUUCUAGAAAGAAUAUGAUCGUUUACUCUAGGCCAAUGUUCACACUGCAACAAUUAGAAAAAUGCGAUUAAUUAUACUGAGUUUUUUGAGCUAAGAUUAUAGGGGCUUUUCCAUUUUUAUUAGUUCUUGGUUAUUAUAAAACUACUAUAAACAUUCUUAUACAUGUAUUUUGGUGAACAUAUGUCUUCCUUUCUCCUGGAUAUAAACCAAGAAUGAUAUUACUGGGUUAUACUGUUGGUAUGUGUUUAACUUUCUUAGAAAUUGCCAAAUGGUAUUUACAAAAUGGGUGUAUCAUUUUAUAUCCCUACCAAGAAUGUGUAAGAGUAAAAUUAGCUCUACAUUGAGGGGUUGAUAUCUGAGUUCAAACUUAAGUAAUACAGCCAGUCACUGAAAGCCCUGAGGAUAAAAGAGCUCCCAGUAGAGCAACACUAAGCUCAAAGAACCUGUGGCAUUUCUACGGGGAUAUUCCCUGCAACGUUAAAUUUAAUGUAUUCUAAAGUUUCACAUCAUAUGCCCCAUUGGUGGACUGUAAAUUCAAUUCAAGUUUUACCAAGAGAUAAUUUUUGAUGGAAUAUAAGGGACUAGCUUUUUUUUUCUACAAUAAACACUUAAAAAUGUUUUCCAUGUUGUAAAUGCAGCUUAACCAGUAACCAUAAUGAUAGACAUUUAAAUUACUUCUACUAUUUUGUUUUAAUACAUAAUGCUGUGAAAUUAACUUGUAAUAUGAUCUCAAAAGUACAUGAAGGUAUAAAUUGUAUAAAUUCCAGAAGUGUAAUCUCUGAGUUAAAAAAAGAAAACACUUGUAAUUUGAUAGAUAUUUUAAAAAGUGAACUUGUCAAUGUGCUCUCCAAAUUAUAUUAUCAAGAUCUGCUGAAUAAGCUAAAAUAUGGUGAGACUUAGCAUGCUGAUAGAAGAGGCCACACAUUUUUGACCAUUAUUCAAAACCCAACUUCUUAGCAUUUCCUAAUAUUUCAAAAGUAUAUUUGGAAAUCUCAUAGGAGUCUUUAUUUAAAUCAUCAGCAACUCCUUAUCUUAUUUCAUCUUUGGCAGUUUCUUAGAUAAUUAUGACAAUAUUAAUGUAAAAAUACAAAUGAUAAUGUAUGAUAUAUUUCAAUGUAGCAAGAAGAGAGGAUUUUGGAUGUUAUCACUACAAAUAAAUAAUAAGUGUUUGAGGUUAUGAAUAUGCUAAUUAACCUGAUUUGAUCAUUACACAAUAUAUGCAUGUAUGAAAACUUCACAUUGUACCCUUUAAAUAUAUG
RNAcentral lists this long non-coding RNA (4802 nucleotides) under Homo sapiens (human). RNAcentral describes it as "non-protein coding lnc-CPEB2-2:4". Lineage: Eukaryota; Metazoa; Chordata; Mammalia; Primates; Hominidae. The record is from RNAcentral.